UAAUUUUCAUUUAGCGAAAUGAUUUAUCUUCAAAUGAAAAUUAUAUCAGCCCGAUAACAACUCAUUUAAUAUUCUGAAAAUCAAAAAUCAAGCCUAAUAAGGACGUAUUACGAGCAAUAUGUACCUAAUUAAUUGAUGCUUAUCAAUACACAACUUUCAUGAAAUCCUUUCGAUGAAAAAACAUCUCAAAUAGUCUCCAUCAUCGUUUAGAGAAGUACAAAAUCAAAAUGGUGUCGUUUUGCGGAAUACUGUUCUUGGCAUUUUCUACCUUUUUACUUUUUAAUUUUUAUCAUAACCUUUUUGGAGAAUCGUACUUGGGCAGGGUGCGCAGCUGCACUAAAUAUAAUGUUUUAAUUUGUAUACUCCACCCGGACAAUGAUCCUGAAAAUGUGACCGCCUCGGUUAAUAUUUCCAAAGUGACUGAAGAGCCUUCCAUAUCCACUGAUGCAACAGAAACGAGUACUACUGUAUUUACAACAGAAGUAUUUACGACAGAGAUUACAACGAUAACGGAAGACACUGAGCCACCCACUGAUUUACCCGAAUUAGAAGACAUUUCAAAUAGAAACGAAACCUUAUUGAAGAAAUUAUUACAAAAAAUUCUUCCUGGAUUUGGAAAAAGUCGCACGACACAAACACAAACAACCAACCCAUAUGACGACGUUACAUUAACUUUUAACGCACGAUAAGGAAUUUUUAAAAUUAUUGAAUUAACAUACCUACCAUGUGACUUAUUAUUAUACAUUUGAUUUUUAAUUACUUAUAAGGAUAUCGUGUUAUUUUAAUUAUUGAUAGGUAUAAAUACAUAAUACAAUUUAAAGUAUGUAUGUACUAGCAUUUGGUUAGUUUGUAAUACUUUUUUUGAAUAUAGAUUUUUUUCAUA
Long non-coding RNA from Planococcus citri (citrus mealybug), 883 nucleotides. RefSeq lists it as uncharacterized. The record is from RefSeq and is a predicted model, not a curated record. Lineage: Eukaryota; Metazoa; Arthropoda; Insecta; Hemiptera; Pseudococcidae. The transcript has 2 exons.